Molecule: ribosomal RNA, 253 nt
Filed under: uncultured bacterium
Lineage: Bacteria
Description: partial 16S ribosomal RNA
Rfam family: Archaeal small subunit ribosomal RNA
Source: RNAcentral
UACCCGCAGCUCAAGUGGUGGUCAUUAUUAUUGGGCCUAAAGCGUCCGUAGCUGGCCUGUUAGAUGCCUGGGUAAAUCGAUGCGCUCAACGUAUCGAACUCCGGGUAGACCGGCAGGCUCGAGACCGGGAGAGGUGUAGGCUACUCGCGGGGUAGGGGUAAAAUCCUGUAAUCCUGCGGGGAGGACCAGUGGCGAAGGCGCUACACUAGAACGGCUCUGACAGUGAGGGACGAAGCCCUGGGGCGCAAACCGG